AAUGCAUAGCUCCUAUGUAAAAGUCUCCUGACUAUCACAGCUUGUGAAACGAAUGGGCAGAAAAAGACCUUGCACCAGAUAGCUGCAUCUAAAAGAACAGAAGAGAGAAAGGAAGGAAACAUUUAUAAGUACCUACUUUUUGCCAGGCACCAUUCUAAGUGUUUUACUAAUCUUGUCUUCUUUGAAUCUCGCAACAACUCUGAGAGGAUGGCUGAGUACAGGAGAGAAGAAGGAUAUGGUCAGAAAAGAACGGAAUGUAAAAACAAAAGAUGUCCUUACAAAAACAAUUAAUAAAUAAAUGCUGCUACCCAACAUA
Molecule: long non-coding RNA, 316 nt
Organism: Antechinus flavipes (yellow-footed antechinus)
Lineage: Eukaryota; Metazoa; Chordata; Mammalia; Dasyuromorphia; Dasyuridae
Exons: 2
Source: RefSeq, a predicted model, not a curated record